RNAcentral lists this ribosomal RNA (253 nucleotides) under uncultured bacterium. RNAcentral's name for it is "partial 16S ribosomal RNA". It matches the Rfam family "Bacterial small subunit ribosomal RNA", at positions 524 to 776 of the family's 1533-position model. The record is from RNAcentral.
GACAGAGGUCCCGAGCGUUAGGCGGAAUCACUGGGCUUAAAGCGUGUGUAGGCGGAUGCCUAAGUACCUUGUGAAAUCCCACGGCUUAACCGUGGAACUGCUUGGUAUACUGGGUGUCUUGAGCCACUUAGGGGCUACCGGAACAAAUGGUGGAGCGGUGAAAUGCGUAGAUAUCGUUUGGAACGCCGACGGUGAAAACAGAUGACUGGGGAUCCGCUGACGCUGAGACGCGAAAGCGUGGGGAGCGAACAGG